Regulatory RNA element from Phyllobacterium sp. YR531, 68 nucleotides. It matches the Rfam family "S-element". From Rfam's summary of the family: This family represents a group of S-elements from p42d and related plasmids. The S-element has multiple functions and is believed to act as a negative regulator of repC transcription, be required for efficient replication and act as a translational enhancer of repC. The record is from Rfam. Lineage: Bacteria; Pseudomonadati; Pseudomonadota; Alphaproteobacteria; Hyphomicrobiales; Phyllobacteriaceae.
UGUCAAGACUUUUUGGCGCCGUUUGAGCGAGUGGUUUUGUUUUGCCUUUAAGAAGGUAGAAGACAAUG